RNAcentral lists this ribosomal RNA (458 nucleotides) under uncultured bacterium. RNAcentral describes it as "partial 16S ribosomal RNA". It matches the Rfam family "Bacterial small subunit ribosomal RNA", at positions 338 to 795 of the family's 1533-position model. The record is from RNAcentral.
CCUACGGGUGGCAGUAGUGAGGAAUAUUGGUCAAUGGGCGAGAGCCUGAACCAGCCAAGUUGCGUGAGGGAGUACUGCCCUAUGGGUUGUAAACCUCUUUUGUCGGGGAGCAAAAGCCGGACGUGUCCGGCUGUGAGAGUACCCGAAGAAAAAGCAUCGGCUAACUCCGUGCCAGCAGCCGCGGUAAUACGGAGGAUGCGAGCGUUAUCCGGAUUUAUUGGGUUUAAAGGGUGCGCAGGCGGAUUUUUAAGUCAGCGGUAAAAUCGUGGGGCUCAACCCCAUCCAGCCGUUGAAACUGGGGAUCUAGAGUGUGUGAGAGGUAUGCGGAAUGCGUGGUGUAGCGGUGAAAUGCAUAGAUAUCACGCAGAACCCCGAUUGCGAAGGCAGCAUACCGGUGCACAACUGACGCUGAGGCGCGAAAGCGUGGGGAGCAAACAGGAUUAGAUACCCGAGUAGUC